This is an RNA transcript of Lolium rigidum, 1120 nucleotides long. RefSeq lists it as uncharacterized. Lineage: Eukaryota; Viridiplantae; Streptophyta; Magnoliopsida; Poales; Poaceae. The transcript has 4 exons. The record is from RefSeq and is a predicted model, not a curated record.
AUAGCACCCACCCCCACAAUUCCGUGCGAGCAUCUCCGUAUCGAUCUAUCUCUAUGGCUGUCUCCGUCUCCGGGUCGCCGGUCGUGCUAUGUUCUCAUAUUGUAUUCAGAUUUCGAGGAUUAGGCAAUGAUUUGCGGCGGCGAGACGAACACCACUGCAUCACCGACCAUUGGCGAGCGAGUAGGUUCAGCGGGACUGCUGGAGGUCCGGCAAUCCAAUUCGGAAUUGGACAUCUUUCAAUUUCUCUCUCACCCCAUCCAAUUUUCGUAGUCUUUUUUUUCGAGAUCUAUAUACAGUAUAUUUUUUGCAGUCUUUGUUUGGCUUGAUCUGUUACUCAUUAUCCUAGGUCAUGUGCUUGGUGGAUCUGUGAUUCUCCGCCUGAUGUUCCUGCCUGCCUUCAUUUAUGGACGCUCGCAGCUCCCUCCCGGGUACCCUGCAACAGUGCCAAAUUCCCUGCCCUCGCCCAACUUCGCCUCUCUUAAUCAGGUUCUGUUGUUGGCGUUAUGCGAUAUGCAUGUUGUGUCUGAACAUCAAGUUGGGUUUAUGGUUUGAUUAAUUUGAUGGUGGUAUGGUUGAUUACCUAGUUAUCGUUUUGUUUAUCUGGUAAAUAUUGGACAUCCCCUGCUUAUGAGGUGCCAGACAAUCCUUCGAUUUGAUAUGUGCAGAAACACAGAUCCGUUCUUACCUAUAUAUGCACUUGAAGAACUAUCUUACCGGACAAGUUUCAGUCUGUUGGCUACGCAUGUGGAGAACAAAAUAAUUUCUCAGCUCAAAUUCAUCUUGCAUUUGAUGAUUUGUGUAUGAAUGUCAACGCUUCAGAGCAGAGUCAAAUCUUCAGUCUUUGUGCACUGCAACUACGAGAAGUAUAAAGCCACGGUUGUAUAGAAGAAAGGUUCAUAAAGUAAUCAGAGCAUGUGGUGCAGCCUGGUGACGUCCUUUUUUCCUGAGGACUGAGAUUCCCAAUACAAGUGGAGGUGAUGCAAGGCUGAGAAUAGUGCUACUACAGAUAGUUAGAAAUUAGUGUUCAGAAUUUGAUUUCCAAUGAAAUUAGUAUUCAUUGGAUCGUCUUCUUUGUAAAGCUACAAAGUUAAUUUAAUAUAUGAGGUCUUUCCGUUUAUAA